Sinocyclocheilus rhinocerous is the source of this 250-nucleotide long non-coding RNA. RefSeq lists it as uncharacterized. The transcript is spliced from 3 exons. The record is from RefSeq and is a predicted model, not a curated record. NCBI's taxonomy places the organism in Eukaryota, Metazoa, Chordata, Actinopteri, Cypriniformes, Cyprinidae.
AUUUUUGCUCCCAAGGAGUGACAACGGUGGAGAAUAUGGAUGAUGGGCAGGAGCUUAUGGCUACUGAUCAUGCCAUGGAUAUCCUUGGCUUCACUCCAGAAGAAAAGUAUGGCUGCUAUAAAAUAGUAGGGGCCAUCAUGCACUUCGGGAACAUGAAAUUCAAACAGAAGCAGAGGGAGGAGCAGGCAGAGACCGAUGGCACUGAAAGUGCUGAUAAGGCCUCCUACCUGAUGGGUGUUAGCUCAGCAGA